UCAGGAAAGCUGGCCCUGUGCUCCCAGCAGCUGCCAAAUGGCCCGGAUCCUCCUUUCUCCCACCACAGCCGGCUCCCGGUUUCCGGCACCCUUGGGAGAUGCUAGAGGCUCCCUCCAGGGCAGGCGGCACAGGCUGCUGGGUCCUGACCUGCCAGCGCCCCCCCCCCCCAACCCCCGCCCUGCCGCCCCACCGCUGGAACAUGGACUUCAGAGCCAGGAAAAGUCAACAGAGUCCAGACAGAGAGGACGCCUGUGACUGCUGAGUGCCCAACCAAUUCCCAAUUCCCCAAACACCAUGAAAAAGAAAUCUUUGAAGAAAUCGAAACUACCCGGGAGGGGAGAGCCCUGAGCAGCCCCAGCAUCCGGACCGCAGCGUCUCCGUCUCGCACCAUGAACCGCAAUGCCCAGCCCUUCCUUCCUGGCACCCACACUGGUGUCCCCCCAACUUAUGAGAUGCUCAAGGAGGAGCAUGAGGUGGCGGUACUCGGGGGGCCCCAGAGUCCAGCUCCCAUGGCCACCACC
Molecule: long non-coding RNA, 522 nt
Organism: Herpailurus yagouaroundi (jaguarundi)
Lineage: Eukaryota; Metazoa; Chordata; Mammalia; Carnivora; Felidae
Exons: 2
Source: RefSeq, a predicted model, not a curated record